This 492-nucleotide ribosomal RNA is filed under the name uncultured bacterium. RNAcentral describes it as "partial 16S ribosomal RNA". It matches the Rfam family "Bacterial small subunit ribosomal RNA", at positions 30 to 507 of the family's 1533-position model. The record is from RNAcentral.
AUUGAACGCUGGCGGCAUGCUUUACACAUGCAAGUCGAACGGUAACAGGCCUUCGGGUGCUGACGAGUGGCGAACGGGUGAGUAAUGCAUCGGAACGUGCCCAGAGGUGGGGGAUAACGCAGCGAAAGCUGUGCUAAUACCGCAUGUGAUCUGAGGAUGAAAGCGGGGGACCAGGCAGCAAUGUUUGGCCUCGCGCCUUUGGAGCGGCCGAUGUCAGAUUAGGUAGUUGGUGGGGUAAAGGCCUACCAAGCCGACGAUCUGUAGCUGGUCUGAGAGGACGACCAGCCACACUGGGACUGAGACACGGCCCAGACUCCUACGGGAGGCAGCUGUGGGGAAUUUUGGACAAUGGGCGCAAGCCUGAUCCAGCAAUGCCGCGUGCGGGAAGAAGGCCUUCGGGUUGUAAACCGCUUUUGUACGGAACGAAAAGGCUCUGGCUAAUACCUGGGGCUGAUGACGGUACCGUAAGAAUAAGUACCGGCUAACUACGUG